UACGUAGGUGGCGAGCGUUGUCCGGAAUCACUGGGCGUAAAGCGCGUGUAGGCGGAACGGCAAGUCUGUUGUGAAAGCGCCUGGCUUAACCGGGCGAGGUCGAUGGAAACUGCCGUUCUGGAGGCCGGUAGAGGGGGGUGGAAUUCCGGGUGUAGUGGUGAAAUGCGUAGAGAUCCGGAGGAACACCAGUGGCGAAGGCGGCCCCCUGGGCCGCGCCUGACGCUGAGACGCGAAAGCGCGGGGAGCGAACGGG
This 253-nucleotide ribosomal RNA is filed under the name uncultured bacterium. Its description in RNAcentral is "partial 16S ribosomal RNA". It matches the Rfam family "Bacterial small subunit ribosomal RNA", at positions 524 to 776 of the family's 1533-position model. The record is from RNAcentral.